Unclassified non-coding RNA from Cavia aperea (Brazilian guinea pig), 85 nucleotides. NCBI's taxonomy places the organism in Eukaryota, Metazoa, Chordata, Mammalia, Rodentia, Caviidae. The record is from Ensembl.
AAAUCAUAAUCCAACUCUAGCAUUAGCCAUGGGUUUAGCAUUCCUCUUGAGGAAAGCAGGGGUUCCUCUUUUGCCCCCCAUUGGC